RNAcentral lists this ribosomal RNA (499 nucleotides) under Tachycnemis seychellensis. Its description in RNAcentral is "partial 12S ribosomal RNA". It matches the Rfam family "Bacterial small subunit ribosomal RNA", at positions 794 to 1522 of the family's 1533-position model. Lineage: Eukaryota; Metazoa; Chordata; Amphibia; Anura; Hyperoliidae. The record is from RNAcentral.
GCCUAGCCGUAAAAUAUUUAUUUACACCUAUAAACGCCAGAGNAAUUACGAGCGCAAGCUUAAAACUCAAAGGACUUGACGGUGUCCCAUCUACCUAGAGGAGCCUGUUCUAUAAUUGAUAAUCCCCGAUAAACCUCACCACUUUUAGCCUAUUCAGCCUGUAUACUUCCGUCGCAAGCUUACCGUAUGAACGAACAAGUAAGCUUAAUGAUCAAUUCACCAAAACGUCAGGUCAAAGUGCAGCCAAUAAAGUGGGAAGAAUGGGCUACAGUUUCUUAGUAUAAGAACAAACGAAAAAUCACCUGAAACACUGGAUCAUGAGGGNGGAUUUAGAAGUAAAAUGAAAAAAGAGUGUUCAUUUUAACUAAGCCCUGGGACGCGUACACACCGCCCGUCACCCUCUUCGAAAUUUUCAACAACAAUAAAUAAUUUAUUUUUAUACACAAAAGAAGAGGCAAGUCGUAACACGGUAAGCAUACUGGAAAGUGUGCUUGGACAU